CGGCAGCGGCGGCGGACAGGCAGCGGGCCCUAGCUCCAGCGGUUACGGAUCUGGUGGCGGCACUGGUACUGGCUCCAGUGAGGUGACUAAUGGCUGGUACCCAUAUGCGAAUGCAAAUGCUAAUGGUAAUGGUGGAGGCACGGGAAGUGGUCAGAAUGGCGGCAGCGGCGGCGGCACGGGACGUGGCAACGGUUAUGGCGAUGCAUACCCUUGAAGUUAUCUCUAUAUAGUUGAUCGAUCUGAAGAUGGAGCCAAACUUUCAUGUUGUUUUCCUUCUGUUUGAACUGCUGGCCUCGUUAGUUUGCAGCCUUUAACUUCUCCUAAGCUUUCGUUCAUGUAAUGGAUGAACCAAUAAAGGGCCCCAUCAACUUGUGUUAUUACUCUUCGCUACCUUGGCAUUUAAAUUCAGGUUUCUUUUCUCUGUAUAUCAGAGCGACA
RNAcentral lists this long non-coding RNA (438 nucleotides) under Hordeum vulgare. Its description in RNAcentral is "long non-coding RNA (HVUL_LNC020120)". Lineage: Eukaryota; Viridiplantae; Streptophyta; Magnoliopsida; Poales; Poaceae. The record is from RNAcentral.